Long non-coding RNA from Ictalurus punctatus (channel catfish), 3967 nucleotides. Lineage: Eukaryota; Metazoa; Chordata; Actinopteri; Siluriformes; Ictaluridae. The record is from Ensembl.
UUUUCUUUAAAAAAUUAAACAAUGAAGCAUUGACAUGCACAAAAAGGAUGUUAUCUGAUAUAUAAUUUGACAUUAAUAAAUAUAAAUGUAUAUAUAUGGAUGUGGAUAUGAGAUGAGGAUGAGCCGGCGCAGUGAGAGGAUCGACCCACUCGCACCUGUUGACCGGAUUCCGGAUUUUCCAGGUUAAAAUGUAAAAUGGCGACAAACCGGAAAUGAAACAGGUGGACGUUCUCAACCCUGACGGUUUACUCCGGUGAUUUGUUUUUGUGUGAAGAAAGUGGAGUUUGUUUUCUUUUUCCUGCCGGAUAAACCCGCAAACAGAGGCAGUAAGUCAGCGCUGUGAGCUCUGCUCCUCUUCAGUGGGGCUGUUUUAUAAACUCUGCUUGGACGGGAAUGAGAAACUCCGCAUAAACAAGCGGAGCGACUUUCUUCACCACACGGUAACUUCACUUUAAAUAUGAUCUCUGAGCUGAACACGGUGUCGGGACACGAACACCACAAGACUGAAGUGUGUCAUGCAAAGUGUUCAGACUUCAGGUUUUGUAUAUAAGGAAGUCCCGUGCUUACAUUUGAACCCUUACAGUGGUGUGUGUGUGUGUGUGUGUGUGUGUGUGACAGUGUUGUCUCUCUGUGUGUGUGACAGUGUUGUCUCUGUGUGUGUGUGUGUGUGACAGUGUUGUCUCUCUCUGUGUGUGUGUGUGUGUGUGUGUGUGUGUGUGUGUGUGACAGUGUUGUCUCUGUGUGUGUGUGUGUGUGUGUGAGACAGUGGUGUCUGUGUGUGUGUGUGUGUGUGUGUGACAGUGUUGUCUCUGUGUGUGUGUGUGUGACAGUGGUGUGUGUGUGUGACAGUGUUGUCUCUGUGUGUGUGACAGUGUUGUGUCUCUCUCUCUCUGUGUGUGUGUGUGUGUGUGUGUGUGUGUGACAGUGUUGUCUCUCUCUGUGUGUGUGUGUGUGUGUGUGUGUGUGUGACAGUGUUGUCUCUCUCUCUGUGUGUGUGUGUGUGUGUGUGUGUGACAGUUGUGUGUGUGUGUGUGACAGUGGUGUCUCUGUGUGUGUGUGUGACAGUGGUGUCUCUGUGUGUGUGUGUGUGACAGUGGUGUGUGUGUGUGUGUGACAGUGUUGUCUCUGUGUGUGUGACAGUGUUGUCUCUGUGUGUGUGACAGUGUUGUCUCUGUGUGUGUGUGACAGUGUUGUCUCUGUGUGUGUGUGUGACAGUGUUGUCUCUGUGUGUGUGACAGUGUUGUCUCUCUGUGUGUGUGUGUGUGACAGUGUUGUCUGGGGGUGUGACAGUGGUGUGUGUGUGUGUGUGUGACAGUUGUGUGUGUGUGUGUGUGUGUGUGUGUGACAGUUGUGUGUGUGUGUGUGUGUGACAGUUGUGUGUGUGUGUGUGACAGUGGUGUCUCUGUGUGUGUGUGUGACAGUGGUGUCUCUGUGUGUGUGUGUGUGACAGUGGUGUGUGUGUGUGUGUGACAGUGUUGUCUCUGUGUGUGUGACAGUGUUGUCUCUGUGUGUGUGACAGUGUUGUCUCUGUGUGUGUGUGACAGUGUUGUCUCUGUGUGUGUGACAGUGUUGUCUCUGUGUGUGUGACAGUGUUGUGUGUGUGUGUGUGUGUGACAGUGGUGUCUCUGUGUGUGUGACAGUGUUGUCUGUGUGUGUGUGUGUGACAGUGUUGUCUCUCUGUGUGUGUGUGUGACAGUGUUGUCUCUGUGUGUGUGUGACAGUGUUGUGUGUGUGUGUGUGUGUGAGACAGUGUUGUCUGUGUGUGUGACAGUGUUGUCUGUGUGUGUGACAGUGGUGUGUGUGUGUGUGUGUCUCUGUGUGUGUGACAGUGGUGUCUGUGUGUGUGUGUCUGUGUGUGUGUGACAGUGGUGUCUCUGUGUGUGUGUGUCUGUGUGUGUGUGACAGUGUUGUUUCUGUGUGUGUGACAGUGUUGUCUCUGUGUGUGUGUGUGUGACAUUGUUGUCUCUGUGUGUGUGUGUGUGACAGUGUUGUCUCUGUGUGUGUGUGUGUGUGACAGUGUUGUCUCUGUGUGUGUGACAGUGUUGUCUCUGUGUGUGUGACAGUGUUGUCUCUGUGUGUGUGACAGUGUUGUCUGUGUCUGUGUGUGUGUGUGUGACAGUGUUGUCUGUGUCUGUGUGUGUGUGUGUGACAGUGUUUGGUGUCUCUGUGUGUGUGACAGUGUUGUCUGUGUGUGUGUGUGUGACAGUGUUGUCUCUGUGUGUGUGUGUGACAGUGUUGUCUCUGUGUGUGUGUGUGUGACAGUGUUGUCUCUGUGUGUGUGUGACAGUGUUGUGUGUGUGUGUGUGUGUGAGACAGUGUUGUCUGUGUGUGUGACAGUGUUGUCUGUGUGUGUGACAGUGGUGUGUGUGUGUGUGUGUCUCUGUGUGUGUGACAGUGGUGUCUGUGUGUGUGUGUCUGUGUGUGUGUGACAGUGGUGUCUCUGUGUGUGUGUGUGUCUGUGUGUGUGUGACAGUGUUGUUUCUGUGUGUGUGACAGUGUUGUCUCUGUGUGUGUGUGUGUGACAUUGUUGUCUCUGUGUGUGUGUGUGUGUGUGACAGUGUUGUCUCUGUGUGUGUGUGUGUGUGACAGUGUUGUCUCUGUGUGUGUGACAGUGUUGUCUCUGUGUGUGUGUGACAGUGUUGUCUCUGUGUGUGUGACAGUGUUGUCUGUGUCUGUGUGUGUGUGUGUGACAGUGUUGUCUGUGUGUGUGUGUGUGUGUGACAGUGUUGUCUCUGUGUGUGUGUGUGUGUGUGACAGUGUUGUCUCUGUGUGUGUGUGUGUGUGUGUGUGUGACAGUGGUGUCUGUGUGUGUGUGUGUCUGUGUGUGUGUGACAGUGUUGUCUCUGUGUGUGUGACAGUGUUGUCUCUGUUGGUGUGUGUGUGUGUGUGUGUGUGUGUGACAGUGUUGUCUGUGUGUGUGUGUGUGACAGUGUUGUCUGUGUGUGUGUGUGACAGUGGUGCCUGUGUGUGUGUGACAGUGUUGUCUCUCUGUGUGUGUGUGACAGUGUUGUCUCUGUGUGUGUGUGUGUGUGUGUGACAGUGUUGUCUCUGUGUGUGUGUGUGUGUGUGUGACAGUGUUGUCUCUGUGUGUGUGACAGUGUUGUCUCUGUGUGUGUGACAGUGUUGUCUCUGUGUGUGUGUGUGUGUGUGUGUGUGUGUGUGUGUGUGUGUGUGUGACAGUGGUGCCUGUGUGUGUGUGACAGUGGUGCCUGUGUGUGUGUGACAGUGUUGUCUCUGUGUGUGUGUGUGACAGUGUUGUCUCUGUGUGUGUGUGUGUGUGUGUGUGUGUGACAGUGGUGCCUGUGUGUGUGUGACAGUGUUGUCUGUGUGUGUGUGUGUGUGACAGUGUUGUCUCUGUGUGUGUGACAGUGUUGUCUCUGUGUGUGUGUGUGUGUGUGUGUGACAGUGUUGUCUCUGUGUGUGUGACAGUGUUGUCUCUGUGUGUGUGACAGUGGUGUCUGUGUGUGUGUGUGUGUGUGACUGGUGCCUCUGUGUGUGUGUGACAGUGGUGCCUGUGUGUGUGUGUGUGUGUGACAGUGUUGUCUCUGUGGGUGACAGUGUUGUCUCUGUGUGUGACAGUGUUGUCUCUGUGGGUGACAGUGUUGUCUCUGUGUGAGACAGUGUUGUCUGCGCGCGCGUGUGUGACAGUGUUGUCUCUGUGUGUGUGUGAGACAGUGUUGAAUCAGGACUGCAGUGUUCAGGCUUAUUCUUACAGGCUUGAAUUAAUUAACCGUAUUCAUUUAACCCAUACGGUAUAGAAGUAACGCUUAUGUAACUGCUGUGUAGUUAACCUGUACAAUGUUGAUUCAUGUAUGUGUGUGUGUGUGUGUAUAUAUGUGUAUAUAUAUAUAUAUAUAUAUAAUAUAUGCGCACACACAUUAACUAUGUCUAAGUAUUGAGUUCACCCAUAAUAGGUUAAAAUAACUCUUGCAGUGCUCAAUUAAACGCAUGUAGUGUUGAAUUAACC